Molecule: long non-coding RNA, 300 nt
Filed under: Homo sapiens (human)
Lineage: Eukaryota; Metazoa; Chordata; Mammalia; Primates; Hominidae
Description: non-protein coding lnc-FAM50B-15:1
Source: RNAcentral
AUGCCCAAGGGAAGGUCAGUGAAGCUGGGGGUGGGGGGGCAGCAGAGGAUGGGCCCAAGGGGAGUGGGACAAGGCUGUCAGCCACACCUAUUCCUGCAAAAGUGCAAGUUAAGCCACAAAAGGCUGCCAGAAAGGAUAACUCUUCAGACAAAAAAUGCAGGAACAAAAGGCAAAAUGGAAGCAAAAGAACAAAGUGGCCAACCAAGAAACUGAAGAAGACUCACCUACAAACACAGAGAAACUGAAAACCAGUAGAGUCCAGCCUCUGAAGAAAGAGAGAAGGAAGCCAAAUCUGAUUAA